Long non-coding RNA from Carya illinoinensis, 733 nucleotides. RefSeq lists it as uncharacterized. The record is from RefSeq and is a predicted model, not a curated record. The transcript is spliced from 2 exons. Lineage: Eukaryota; Viridiplantae; Streptophyta; Magnoliopsida; Fagales; Juglandaceae.
GUUACAGUUCUUAUGAGUUAUGGGUUAUUAGAGCAUGUACACAUGCUGUAGAGGAACACACCUCACGGGCCACGUCUACUGCAUGCCCUCAACAGAAUGCCUCCUCUGCUGGUUGCUCUUAACAAAAUGCCAUAACCACCUCUGCACCUCUUACGGAAUAAUAGAAGAACCCUCUAGAAUUAUUCUCUUGUAAAUGAUUUCUGCUAUAAAUAUGAGCACUAUUGUAUUGAGGAAGUAUGGAAAAUAAGAAACAUUUCAUUCGGAAUACACUCUUUCUCUUAUGCAUUCUUACAAGCAUCUGAGCUUCAUCUUUCACUACUCUGUUUUCAACAUGGGUAAACGUUGAAGUGAGAGUUGAAAUCUCUUGAACGGGAAAGGAUAUGAUCUACUUGGUGAAGUGAUGGAGUAGUUUGGGAUUAGAGCUAUCGACUAUUUAUGUUGAUAAAGAGAGUUUUGCUGGUAGUAUGCAUGUGAUUGAAAAUGCCUGAACGGUUAAGGAUGGCCUCUGUUAAGAUCACGCUAACCCUUGUAACUCCAGCCCUUCUGGGAAAGGGUUUCUACAAGCAAGAUUUCGCGUGUGCUCCAAAGGGGCUAAUUUUGACAAAAGCAUGUAAAGAGGUGCUCGGCUUCAAUGCUCACAACUAUUUUUGCAACUAUUUUCACAAGUCUAUUUUAAAUGGCAGGCGGUUAUAAAAUCCUGAAUUACAAAUAAUAAAAACUUUGAUAUAUUAAA